Molecule: microRNA, 22 nt
Filed under: Scyliorhinus torazame (cloudy catshark)
Lineage: Eukaryota; Metazoa; Chordata; Chondrichthyes; Carcharhiniformes; Scyliorhinidae
Description: Sto-Novel-3_5p* (star (passenger))
Source: RNAcentral
UGCUGUAACCAUUUUAUGAUUC